GGCUCAUAUGGUGAAAAUGCUAGGAGAAAGCCACACACACCAUCCGCUAUUGUUAUUGGUGGUGGGUUUGCAGGUCUUGCUGCUGCUGAUGCGCUCAGAAAUGCAUCCUUCCAGGUUAUUCUUCUGGAAUCUCAUGAUAGAAUUGGUGGCAGAGUUCACACUGACUACUCUUUUGGGUUUCCAGUCGAUUUGGGAGCAUCUUGGCUUCAUGGCGUCUGUGAAGAAAAUCCCUUGGCACCAAUAAUUGGAAGGCUUGGACUUCCACUAUACCGCACAAGUGGAGAUGAUUCUGUACCGCAAAAGGAUCUGAAACAAUGGUCAAGGACCCCACUCUGGCUCUGUAGUAUAUAACAGAAUCUCACCACACAAGAUCGAUAACCCUUUCAGAUCAUACUGUACCAAGCUGCUACUUCACUUCAGUAGAACAAUUGAUCACACACAAGAAGUUCAGAUCAGAAAAUGCAGGCUGUCGCUACUCCCGUCAGGUUCUCGGAUUAGUCAAGGGCUGACCAUGGAGAAGAGCACGGUGGUGGUCAGUAUCCCUGUUGUUGUCAUGGCCGAGACUGCUGAGAUCGACUACAGCUCGAGCUUCUCGGUGUUCACAAUGGAGGCUUACGACCUACUCGGUGAUGACGUGUGCAGCGCGCAGAUGUACUCGGAGGCCAAGCUCGCCUCAGUGGCAGCAACAGUGAGUAGGAGGGUGGAGAAGGUGGAGAGGGACUACCUGUCGCACGACAAGCCAAGAAC
Molecule: long non-coding RNA, 747 nt
Organism: Zea mays
Lineage: Eukaryota; Viridiplantae; Streptophyta; Magnoliopsida; Poales; Poaceae
Exons: 5
Source: RefSeq, a predicted model, not a curated record